AGUUUCCCAGGGAUCGAGCCAGACCCCGGCCAGGGAACAGGAAGAGGAGCUGCUCUUCUGUCUGUGCCCACCCAGGCCCUCACCCAGACUCGAUGACUGAGAGGGCUGAGUGCAGCUGCAGCCAUGUCUGUGACCCUCACUCUUCCUACCUUCUGCACCUUCUUCGUGAAACUGGAAGGAUCCCAGGCCACAUCCUUGACAACUGAGAGGGCAGAGUGCAGCUGCAGCCAUGCCCGCAUCCCUCACUCUUUUCUACCUUCUGCACCUUCUUAGUGAAACUGGAAGGAUCCCAGGCCUCAUCCAGAACACAUGGAAGAGAACUUUCCUAGGAAACAGCUCACAUGUCAGUUUUUAGGAUGUGGAACCACUGGGACUCCAUUGCUUGGUGCUGGGGCUGUGUGGCCUCCACUGGGCGCUUGCCAACCUGAGUCUGGGGCCAGGGGGUCCCUGACUGCCCAGCACUCCCGCCCCCAGCCCUCAGCCAGGUUUUCUUAAGGUAUUCCGUCAAACGAAGACAGCUGAGUCUUUCAAAGUUGUUGUAACUGGAGAUGGAAGGUUUCUGCUGCGUCCCCGCCUGCGCAGGGCUGCCCUCAGGCUGGCUUCCUGGGGGUUACUCCAGGGGCGUCUGCUUGCUAAAUGACAGCUAACUGACGCAUGUGCAGUGCUUCCUGGUGCCUUCCACAUGUCUGCAGAGCAGCAGGUUCUACACUUGGCAGUUUUGACAUCCUGCAGUUCCAGAAUACCUAUUGAUUUAAAGAGCUGUGGCCAUACAGGAAGAACAGCAAGAGCCGCUGGCAAAGGAUUCUGCCAAGAGAGAAUCCAAAGGUUACCCCUGAAUAGCAGAAUGCAACGCCCCAGCUCACCACUGGCCAGAGCACCAGCACACAGGCAGCAGUUCCUAGGCUGA
RNAcentral lists this long non-coding RNA (907 nucleotides) under Callithrix jacchus (white-tufted-ear marmoset). RNAcentral describes it as "lncRNA (ENSCJAG00000078883.1)". The record is from RNAcentral. Lineage: Eukaryota; Metazoa; Chordata; Mammalia; Primates; Cebidae.